Molecule: ribosomal RNA, 391 nt
Filed under: Enterobacteriaceae bacterium
Lineage: Bacteria; Pseudomonadati; Pseudomonadota; Gammaproteobacteria; Enterobacterales; Enterobacteriaceae
Description: bacterial SSU rRNA
Rfam family: Bacterial small subunit ribosomal RNA
Source: RNAcentral
UAUGAAGAAGGCCUUCGGGUUGUAAAGUACUUUCAGCGGGGAGGAAGGGAGUAAAGUUAAUACCUUUGCUCAUUGACGUUACCCGCAGAAGAAGCACCGGCUAACUCCGUGCCAGCAGCCGCGGUAAUACGGAGGGUGCAAGCGUUAAUCGGAAUUACUGGGCGUAAAGCGCACGCAGGCGGUUUGUUAAGUCAGAUGUGAAAUCCCCGGGCUCAACCUGGGAACUGCAUCUGAUACUGGCAAGCUUGAGUCUCGUAGAGGGGGGUAGAAUUCCAGGUGUAGCGGUGAAAUGCGUAGAGAUCUGGAGGAAUACCGGUGGCGAAGGCGGCCCCCUGGACGAAGACUGACGCUCAGGUGCGAAAGCGUGGGGAGCAAACAGGAUUAGAUACCC